GAUGAACGCUGGCGGCAUGCUUAACACAUGCCAGUCGAACGGGCAGUGGUGUUUCCAGUGGCGAACGGGUGAGUAACGCGUAAGAACCUGCCCUUGGGAGGGGAACAACAACUGGAAACGGUUGCUAAUACCCCGUAGGCUGAGGAGCAAAAGGAGAAAUCCGCCCAAGGAGGGGCUCGCGUCUGAUUAGCUAGUUGGUGAGUUAAUAGCUUACCAAGGCGAUGAUCAGUAGCUGGUCCGAGAGGAUGAUCAGCCACACUGGGACUGAGACACGGACCAGACUCCUACGGGAGGCAGCAGUGAGGAAUUCUCCGCAAUGGGCGAAAGCCUGACGGAGCAAUGCCGCGUGGAGGUGGAAGGCCUACGGGUCGUCAACUUCUUUUCUCGGAGAAGAAACAAUGACGGUAUCUGAGGAAUAAGCAUCGGCUAACUCUGUG
Molecule: ribosomal RNA, 437 nt
Filed under: uncultured bacterium
Lineage: Bacteria
Description: partial 16S ribosomal RNA
Rfam family: Bacterial small subunit ribosomal RNA
Source: RNAcentral